This 720-nucleotide ribosomal RNA is filed under the name Proteus mirabilis. Its description in RNAcentral is "bacterial SSU rRNA". It matches the Rfam family "Bacterial small subunit ribosomal RNA", at positions 78 to 792 of the family's 1533-position model. Lineage: Bacteria; Pseudomonadati; Pseudomonadota; Gammaproteobacteria; Enterobacterales; Morganellaceae. The record is from RNAcentral.
CUUUUGAUACGCAGCCGGCGCGACGGGUGUAGUCAAUGUGUGGAGAUCUGCCCGAUAGAGGGGAUAUAACUACUGAAAAGGUGGUUAAUACCGAAUAAUGUCUACGCCCCAAGGCAGGAGCUCUUCGGACCUUGCACUAUGGGAUGAACCCAUAUGCCAUUAGCUAGUAAGUGAGGUAAAGGCUCACCUAGUCGACGAUCUCUAGCUGGUCUGACAGGCUGAUCAGCCACUCUGGCACUGAGACACGGCCCAAACUCCUACGGUAGGAAGCAGGGGGGAAUAUUGCACAAUGCCCGCAAGCCUGAUGCAGCCAUGCCGCGUGUAUGAAGAAGGCCUUAGGGUUGUAAAGUACUUUCAGUGUGGAGGAAGGGGAUAAGGUUAAUACCCUUGUCAAUUGACGUUCCCCGCAGAACAAACACCGACUAACUCCGUGCCAUAAGCCGCGGUAAUACGGAGGGUGCAAGCGUUAAUCGGAAUUACUGGACGUAAAGCGCACGAAGGCGGCCAAUUAAGUCAGAUGUGAAAGACCCGAACUUAAAUUGGUAAUUGCAUCUGAAACUGUGUGACUAGAGUCUUGUAAAGGGGGAUAAAAUUCCAUGUGUACCGUGGAAAUGCGUAAAAAAGGUGAAAGAAUACCGGUGGCAAAGGCGGCCCCCUGGACUAACACUGAUGCUCAGGUGCGAGAGGGUGGAGAGCAUACAGAAUUAGAUACCCCUGGUA